UACAGAGGGUGCGAGCGUUAAUCGGAAUUACUGGGCGUAAAGCGUGCGCAGACGGUUGCGUAAGUCUGUUGUGAAAGCCCCGGGCUCAACCUGGGAAUGGCAAUGGAUACUGGCAGGCUAGAGUGCGGUAGAGGGUAGUGGAAUUCCCGGUGUAGCGGUGAAAUGCGUAGAGAUCGGGAGGAACACCAGUGGCGAAGGCGGCUACCUGGACCAGCACUGACACUGAGGCACGAAAGCGUGGGGAGCAAACAGG
RNAcentral lists this ribosomal RNA (253 nucleotides) under uncultured bacterium. Its description in RNAcentral is "partial 16S ribosomal RNA". It matches the Rfam family "Bacterial small subunit ribosomal RNA", at positions 524 to 776 of the family's 1533-position model. The record is from RNAcentral.